CAGCCGCCGCGGUAAAACCAGCACCUCAAGUGGUCAGGAUGAUUAUUGGGCCUGAAGCAUCCGUAGCCGGCUCUGUAAGUUUUCGGUUAAAUCUGUACGCUUAACGUACAGGCUGCCGGGAAUACUGCAGAGCUAGGGAGUGGGAGAGGUAGACGGUACUCGGUAGGAAGGGGUAAAAUCCUUUGAUCUAUUGAUGACCACCUGUGGCGAAGGCGGUCUACCAGAACACGUCCGACGGUGAGGGAUGAAAGCUGGGGGAGCAAACCGGGUUAGAUACCCGGGUAGUCCCAGCUGUAAACUAUGCAAACUCAGUGAUGCAUUGGCUUGUGGCCAAUGCAGUGCUGCAGGGAAGCCGUUAAGUUUGCCGCCUGGGAAGUACGUACGCAAGUAUGAAACUUAAAGGAAUUGGCGGGGGAGCAC
This 420-nucleotide ribosomal RNA is filed under the name uncultured Nitrososphaerota archaeon. Its description in RNAcentral is "bacterial SSU rRNA". It matches the Rfam family "Archaeal small subunit ribosomal RNA", at positions 459 to 879 of the family's 1478-position model. The record is from RNAcentral. Lineage: Archaea; Thermoproteati; Nitrososphaerota.